AAAAUGCGAUAAGUAAUGUGAAUUGCAGAAUUCAGUGAAUCAUCGAAUCUUUGAACGCACAUUGCGCCCGCCAGUAUUCUGGCGGGCAUGCCUGUUCGAGCGUCAUUUCAACCCUCAAGCCCCCGGGUUUGGUGUUGGGGAUCGGGCUGCGGUUCUACCGCGUCCCGGCCCCGAAAUCUAGUGGCGGUCUCGCUGCAGCCUCCAUUGCGUAGUAGCUAACACCUCGCAACUGGAACUCGGCGCGGCCAAGCCGUUAAACCCCCAACUUCUGAAUGUUGACCUCGGAUCAGGUAGGAAUACCCGCUGAACUUAAGC
RNAcentral lists this unclassified non-coding RNA (315 nucleotides) under plant metagenome. RNAcentral describes it as "partial contains 5.8S ribosomal RNA, internal transcribed spacer 2, and large subunit ribosomal RNA". The stretch from base 1 to 105 matches the Rfam family "5.8S ribosomal RNA", at positions 50 to 154 of the family's 154-position model. The record is from RNAcentral.